Molecule: ribosomal RNA, 484 nt
Filed under: uncultured bacterium
Lineage: Bacteria
Description: partial 16S ribosomal RNA
Rfam family: Bacterial small subunit ribosomal RNA
Source: RNAcentral
AUUGAACGCUGGCGGCAGGCCUAACACAUGCAAGUCGAGCGGAUGAAGGGAGCUUGCUCCUGGAUUCAGCGGCGGACGGGUGAGUAAUGCCUAGGAAUCUGCCUGGUAGUGGGGGAUAACGUCCGGAAACGGGCGCUAAUACCGCAUACGUCCUGAGGGAGAAAGUGGGGGAUCUUCGGACCUCACGCUAUCAGAUGAGCCUAGGUCGGAUUAGCUAGUUGGUGGGGUAAAGGCCUACCAAGGCGACGAUCCGUAACUGGUCUGAGAGGAUGAUCAGUCACACUGGAACUGAGACACGGUCCAGACUCCUACGGGAGGCAGCAGUGGGGAAUAUUGGACAAUGGGCGAAAGCCUGAUCCAGCCAAGCCGCGUGUGUGAAGAAGGUCUUCGGAUUGUAAAGCACUUUAAGUUGGGAGGAAGGGCAGUAAGUUAAUACCUUGCUGGUUUGACGUUACCAACAGAAUAAGCACCGGCUAACUUCGUG